RNAcentral lists this ribosomal RNA (154 nucleotides) under Cuminia fernandezia. RNAcentral's name for it is "5.8S ribosomal RNA". It matches the Rfam family "5.8S ribosomal RNA". Rfam says of the family: 5.8S ribosomal RNA (5.8S rRNA) is a component of the large subunit of the eukaryotic ribosome. Lineage: Eukaryota; Viridiplantae; Streptophyta; Magnoliopsida; Lamiales; Lamiaceae. The record is from RNAcentral.
CUCGGCAACGGUAUCUCGGCUCUCGCAUCGAUGAAGAACGUAGCGAAAUGCGAUACUUGGUGUGAAUUGCAGAAUCCCGUGAACCAUCGAGUCUUUGAACGCAAGUUGCGCCCAAAGCCAUUAGGCCGAGGGCACGUCUGCCUGGGCGUCACGC